AUCUGGAAUCUAAUAUAAGGCACAAAUGAAUCUUUCUGCCGAGACCAGCUCAGCAGGAUGGGGCUGAAGAACGGGUGCUGUGAAACUUAAGGAAAAAAGAUAACAUAAAACAAGACAGAGACAUUUAUCUUAAGUAAAGGUGGGAACCAGGGGACUCAAGGUCUCAGGGGCCAAAAGCACUGUCUCAAGAAACCACAUUGCUUUUAUUGUCCUCUUUAGGAUGAGAUUAAGUGAGGAGGGGGCUAUGGGUGGAGGAUAUAGGGUUUGAUUAUUUUAUAAGUUCUUUUAUUAUUUUAAAAGUCACUUAGCUGGUAGAAGUUUAAGCUUUUACUCUGACCUUGAGGCACAUAAUAAUUAGCAUUUGUUAGCUAUCUAUGCAUAGCAUUCCAGAGAAUCCUCACUGUGCUUCCACAAACUGCAUGCCUAUUUUCAGCAACCCAGCGUGCCUAGGUUUGCACCUUGGUUCUCUUUGCUAAUGCAUAUUCUGCUAACGACUACUCAUAAACCACUUGGCCAUGAGGUUCCUCUUUCUCUUACUCCUUAGAGGAUAUAUUGGAUAUAUAAUGCUUGUGCACACGGCGUGCCAAUCUGCACAGGUCCAUGUGCGUAGACCAACGCAUUCAGCUGACCCUAUGAAUAGCUUAUGCCUUUAGGUCUUUGUUCUUAAGCUUAAGUCAUUUACCAGCACUGUGACUCUUUUUCCAAGCAGGAAGAUGGGAUAAAGUAAAGCAAGAAGAUGGGAUAAAGUAAAGCAGGAUAAGAUGGAGUUUUCAGCAAAGAGGCUAAGAAAAUAUUGUAGAAACAUGUCUGUGACACCUUUCCACAGGAAAGAAAAUCAUGGACCUGCAGAAUAGACUUGUGGUUGCCAAGGGGGAGGAGGAAGGAGUGGGGUGGUUGGGGAGCUUGGGAUUAAUAGAUACAAACUAUUGCCUUUGGAAUGGAAUAGCAGUGAGAUCCUGCUGUGUAGCAAUGGGAACUAUGUCUAGUCACUUAUGAUGGAGCGUGAUAAUGUGAGAAAAUAGAAUGUGUACAUGUAUGUGUAACUGGGUCACCAUGCUAUACAGUAGAGGCCACACUUGGGGCAUGUAGCAGUUCCUAGGCCGGGGACUGAACCCAUACCAAAGCAGUGACCUGAGCCACAUCAGUGACAGUGCUGGAUCCUUAACUCACUGUGCCACAAGAGAACUCCAAGAUCCAACUGGAUUUUUUUUUUUUUUUCCUGUCUUUUUAGGGCUACACCCUCAGCAUAUGAAGAUUCCCAGGCUAGGGGUCAAGUUGGAGCUGCAGCUGCCAACCUAUGCCACAGGCACAGCAAUGCAGGAUCCAAGCCGAAUCUGCAGCCUACACCAUAGCUCACGGCAACUCGGGAUCCUUAACCCACUGAGCAAGGCCAGGGAUCUAACCUGCAGCCUCAUGGUUCCUAGUCGGAUUCCUCUCUGCUGGGCUAGGACCGGAACUCCUGUUUUACUUUCUAUUUGUUACAUUCUAGCAAUGGUUUCCUGAAUUUCUGUGGUAGCUUUAAUACAAUCUAUAUUGUAAUUCCUAGGGGGGUUACCACCCUUUUCCUUAAGGUGGGGGCUGGGAGAACUACUUCACAACGUCAACAUUUUGAUUGCAUUUUGAUUUCAAUUCAGAAAGGAAGGCAUUGCACAGGGGGAUAAACUUUGAGGUGACUGGGGACUGAGGCUUUUGUGAAUUCCAGCUACUUGGUCUCUAGGUCUUCCUUUUGGGUUUUGUCAAAGUCCUCUAUUCUCCUGCAAAUACCUGUGACAGCAACAUAUUACCACUUGUGUGCCUAGGCUUGCAUAUUUGGUAUAUUGCACAGUUUCGGAUGGCAGAGUAAAGGAAGACUUUUUUAAUAGGAUAGGAAAGGUAAAAUGAUUGCCCAGUCUUAGCACCUGGCUAGGGUAUCUCCUGGGUAGAGAAACAAGAGUUGUGCCCAAUUAAAAUAAUCCCCAUUUUAAUGAAUCUGUUCAUUUUUCCAGGUUUGUGGUUUUUGUGAUUUUGGUAGAGGCUUUCCUAAACUAUGAGGGCAAUAUAGAAAUCACCAGAUAGGAGUUCCCAUUGUGGUUCAGUGGUUAACAAACCUGACUAGUAUCCAUGAGGAUUUGGGUUCGAUCCCUGGCUUUGCUCAUUGGGUUAGGGAUCCCGUGUUGCUAUGGCUGUGGUUUAGGCAGGCAG
Molecule: long non-coding RNA, 2181 nt
Filed under: Sus scrofa (pig)
Lineage: Eukaryota; Metazoa; Chordata; Mammalia; Artiodactyla; Suidae
Description: lncRNA (ENSSSCG00040007769.1)
Source: RNAcentral